This 117-nucleotide ribosomal RNA is filed under the name Burkholderia sp. Ac-20344. Its description in RNAcentral is "partial 16S ribosomal RNA". It matches the Rfam family "Bacterial small subunit ribosomal RNA", at positions 1421 to 1533 of the family's 1533-position model. The record is from RNAcentral. Lineage: Bacteria; Pseudomonadati; Pseudomonadota; Betaproteobacteria; Burkholderiales; Burkholderiaceae.
CAGAAGUGGCUAGUCUAACCGCAAGGAGGACGGUCACCACGGUAGGAUUCAUGACUGGGGUGAAGUCGUAACAAGGUAGCCGUAUCGGAAGGUGCGGCUGGAUCACCUCCUUUCCAG